AGAACUUGCGAGCUCUUCUGCUUAUUGCCCUUGCGAAAGCUGUGUUCGGGUUUUAUUUUGAAGACAGUUACAGCCAUGUGUAUAAGUACCAGGCUACUUCUGACAUGAUCGGCAUGCACAAUGUCACCACUGUUGUACAGUUUCGAGUGCAGUCAGUGAACACCAGUCUGUCCCUUGGUCCAUUGAAUGUGUUGCAUAUUGAUAGUUUUGUCCAGUUUACAGAACAUGGAUACUAUCAAGAAAACCCAAAGAAGUGGGAUUUGAGCAAAGCGU
Molecule: long non-coding RNA, 273 nt
Organism: Octopus sinensis (East Asian common octopus)
Lineage: Eukaryota; Metazoa; Mollusca; Cephalopoda; Octopoda; Octopodidae
Exons: 3
Source: RefSeq, a predicted model, not a curated record